AUGCUGUUGGUCCAAUUUCUCAACAAAUUUCUGCUACCUCGCAUAAACAAGGAAUCUCACAAGUCUUUAAGCUCCAUGAGAAAUUGUAGUCAAAACUGGAUCCAUAGAAAGAGCAUCAUGCUUAGGGGUUACUUCUGUAUCUAAAACCUUUUCCUGCUGAUCAAAAUCUACCUUUGGUGCCUCUUGGAUUGUUAUUGCAAGUGCAAGAAUAUUUUGUCCACCAAAAACUUGGUUGACCCAAGUUUUAGUUGAUUCUACUGGUAGGAUCACUCUUUCACCUUGAGCUCUAUUAGG
Molecule: long non-coding RNA, 294 nt
Organism: Solanum stenotomum
Lineage: Eukaryota; Viridiplantae; Streptophyta; Magnoliopsida; Solanales; Solanaceae
Exons: 3
Source: RefSeq, a predicted model, not a curated record